GUGUCAGCAGCCGCGGUAAGACGAAGGUGGCAAGCGUUAUUCGGAUUUACUGGGCAUAAAGCGCGCGUAGGCGGCUUGGCAAGUCGGGGGUGAAAGCCCGCAGCUCAACUGCGGAACUGCCUUCGAUACUGCCGGGCUUGAGGGCGGGAGGGGUGAUUGGAACUCCAGGUGUAGCGGUGAAAUGCGUAGAUAUCUGGAGGAACACCGGAGGCGAAGGCGAAUCACUGGACCGCUUCUGACGCUGAGGCGCGAAAGCUAGGGGAGCAAACAGGAUUAGAAACCCCAGUAGUCC
RNAcentral lists this ribosomal RNA (292 nucleotides) under uncultured bacterium. RNAcentral's name for it is "partial 16S ribosomal RNA". It matches the Rfam family "Bacterial small subunit ribosomal RNA", at positions 505 to 796 of the family's 1533-position model. The record is from RNAcentral.